This is a long non-coding RNA of Ictalurus furcatus (blue catfish), 1255 nucleotides long. RefSeq lists it as uncharacterized. The record is from RefSeq and is a predicted model, not a curated record. Lineage: Eukaryota; Metazoa; Chordata; Actinopteri; Siluriformes; Ictaluridae. The transcript has 3 exons.
ACCUCGAAAACCAAGACACAAGGAAGGACCUAGACACAGAUCCACACACAGUCAUUUCCCUCUAGGAGGAGACACUGCAUGGAGCAGGUGUUACAGAGUGACUGCAGUGUGUGUGGUGCUGCUGUGUGUUCUCUUGCUGACUGCCGUCACACUGCUGUGGAUCAAAUUCACCAUUCUGAAUACAGAAAACAACCAGUUACAGACCAGUUACAACACCCUGACUACAGAGAAAGACCGGUUACAACACCCUGCGAAAAAGGUUUCCUUCUGGGACGACAACCAUGCAGACCAAUUUGAUGCAGUGUGCGGCAUGUGGUCUGAGCACUGACAGGCUGACCUCCCACCCCUUCAACCUCUGCAGCAAUGAGGUGCCAUGUUGAACUUCCAGUGACCAGUAUGAGGGAGUGUGAGAGCGAUGACACCAAAUGUAACACACCUGCUCCCCAUUCGCAUCUGAGACCUUGUAACACUAACAAGUCACGUGACACCGGGGAGGGAAAAUGGCUAAUUGGGCCCAAUUUGGACAUUUUCACUUAGGGGUGUACUCUCUUUUGUUGCCAGCGGUUUAGAUAUUAAUGGCUGUGUGUUGAGUUAUUUUGAGGGGACAGCAAAUUUACACUGUUAUACAAUUUGUACACUCACUACUUUACAUUGUAGCAAAGUGUCAUUUCUUCAGUGUUGUCACAUGAAAAAAUAUAAUCAAAUAUUUACAAAAAUGUGAGGGGUGUACUCACUUUUGUGAGAUACUGUAUAUAUAAAAGUAUGAAAGCCACUAUUUUGAUGAUAAUUGUGUGCAUGUUCUUCAGAUUCAUUCACUGUAUCUCACAGAUCUGUAUUUCUUAUGAUUCUGAUGCAGUAACUUUGUAGAUGUGUUAUGAUGAAAGUAGUAUCAUAGAGAUAAUUCAUGUAUUUUAAGAGUGCAUCUCAGUGUCUCUGAAUCUGUUAAAUCAGCAUAAGCCUGAGCUCAAACAAGUUUGGAUUGAGAUGAAUUACACAGUUUUUGCUUCUAGAGUGGGGGACAUGAUGUGAAAUGACUAUAAAGGGGUUCAUUCCUGGUUUGCAGGUUCUUUUCUGCUCAAACUUUUAAGCUGAAUGCAGUUUAUGUAAAAACAAAGUUUUUACAUAAAAAAAGUUAUGGGAAAAUAAUCAGUGGUGGACGGGGUGUUGUGAUGCAACCUGGUGAUUAUUUUCCUAGAACAUCACAUCCUGAAGAGUUUUAUUCCUAUUAUACCACAGCGAUUUCUCAAUGCUUCCA